CGCAAGCCUGACGGAGCAACGCCGCGUGUGGGAAGAAGGCUCUUGGGCUGUCAACCACUUUUCUCAGGGAAGAAGUUCUGACGGUACCUGAGGAAUCAGCCUCGGCUAACUCCGUGCCAGCGGCCGCGGUAAUACGGAGGAGGCAAGCGUUAUCCGGAAUUAUUGGGCGUAAAGCGUCCGCAGGGGGCGCAUCAAGUCUGCUGUCAAGGGUCGGAGCUUAACUCCGGUAGGCAGUGGAAACGGGUGUGCUAGAGGGCGACAGGGGUAGAGGGAAUUCCCAGUGUAGCGGUGAAAUGCGUAGAGAUUGGGAAGAACACCGGUGGCGAAAGCGCUCUACUGGGUCGCACCUGACCCUCAGGGACGAAAGCUAAGGGAGCG
Molecule: ribosomal RNA, 378 nt
Filed under: uncultured cyanobacterium
Lineage: Bacteria; Bacillati; Cyanobacteriota
Description: bacterial SSU rRNA
Rfam family: Bacterial small subunit ribosomal RNA
Source: RNAcentral